RNAcentral lists this ribosomal RNA (253 nucleotides) under uncultured bacterium. RNAcentral describes it as "partial 16S ribosomal RNA". It matches the Rfam family "Bacterial small subunit ribosomal RNA", at positions 524 to 776 of the family's 1533-position model. The record is from RNAcentral.
CACGUAGGGACCAAGCGUUGUCCGGAUUCAUUGGGCGUAAAGGGCUCGUAGGCGGUUUGUCGCGUCGGGAGUGAAAACCUCGGGCUUAACUCGGGGCUUGCUUUCGAUACGGGCAGACUGGAGGUAUGCAGGGGAGAACGGAAUUCCUGGUGUAGCGGUGAAAUGCGUAGAUAUCUGGAGGAACACCGGUGGCGAAGGCGGCAUCCUGGACCAAUAUUGACGCUGAGGAGCGAAAGCCAGGGGAGCAAACGGG